UGGGGAAUAUUGCACAAUGGGCGCAAGCCUGAUGCAGCCAUGCCGCGUGUAUGAAGAAGGCCUUCGGGUUGUAAAGUACUUUCAGUCGGGAGGAAGGUGGUAAGGUUAAUAACCUUAUCAAUUGACGUUACCGACAGAAGAAGCACCGGCUAACUCCGUGCCAGCAGCCGCGGUAAUACGGAGGGUGCAAGCGUUAAUCGGAAUUACUGGGCGUAAAGCGCACGCAGGCGGUUGAUUGAGUCAGAUGUGAAAUCCCCGGGCUUAACCCGGGAAUUGCAUCUGAUACUGGUCAGCUAGAGUCUUGUAGAGGGGGGUAGAGUUCCAUGUGUAGCGGUGAAAUGCGUAGAGAUGUGGAGGAAUACCGGUGGCGAAGGCGGCCCCCUGGACAAAGACUGACGCUCAGGUGCGAAAGCGUGGGGAGCAAACAGG
RNAcentral lists this ribosomal RNA (429 nucleotides) under Chloroflexota bacterium. Its description in RNAcentral is "Chloroflexi bacterium partial 16S ribosomal RNA". It matches the Rfam family "Bacterial small subunit ribosomal RNA", at positions 355 to 776 of the family's 1533-position model. The record is from RNAcentral. Lineage: Bacteria; Bacillati; Chloroflexota.